This 523-nucleotide ribosomal RNA is filed under the name uncultured Lysobacteraceae bacterium. RNAcentral describes it as "bacterial SSU rRNA". It matches the Rfam family "Bacterial small subunit ribosomal RNA", at positions 8 to 526 of the family's 1533-position model. The record is from RNAcentral. Lineage: Bacteria; Pseudomonadati; Pseudomonadota; Gammaproteobacteria; Lysobacterales; Lysobacteraceae.
AGAGUUUGAUCCUGGCUCAGAGUGAACGCUGGCGGCAGGCCUAACACAUGCAAGUCGAGCGGCAGCGCGGGGGCAACCCUGGCGGCGAGCGGCGGACGGGUGAGGAAUUCGUCGGAAUCUGCCUUUUUGUGGGGGAUAACGUAGGGAAACUUACGCUAAUACCGCAUACGACCUACGGGUGAAAGUGGGGGACCUUCGGGCCUCACGCAGAAAGAUGAGCCGACGACCGAUUAGCUAGUUGGUGGGGUAAAGGCCCACCAAGGCGACGAUCGGUAGCUGGUCUGAGAGGAUGAUCAGCCACACUGGGACUGAGACACGGCCCAGACUCCUACGGGAGGCAGCAGUGGGGAAUAUUGGACAAUGGGGGCAACCCUGAUCCAGCCAUGCCGCGUGUGUGAAGAAGGCCUUCGGGUUGUAAAGCACUUUUGUCCGGAAAGAAAUCUUCCAGUUUAAUACGCUGGGAGGAUGACGGUACCGGAAGAAUAAGCACCGGCUAACUUCGUGCCAGCCGCCGCGGUAAUNC